Molecule: long non-coding RNA, 1223 nt
Filed under: Homo sapiens (human)
Lineage: Eukaryota; Metazoa; Chordata; Mammalia; Primates; Hominidae
Description: HSALNT0258499
Source: RNAcentral
CCUCAGGUGAUCUACCCGCCUUGGCCUCCCAAAGUGCUGGGAUUAUAGGUGUGAACCACCAUGCCCGGCCCAAAGUCCAAUACUCUUUAAGGAAUGUGACAAGAUUCAGCACUCAACAACAUAAAGUCACAAUAUCCAACAUUCAAUAAAAAUUGCAAGACAUGAUGAAGUGGGAAAACGUCAUCCAAAACUAGAAAAAAAAUAAGUCAACAGAAACAGACCCAGAAAUUAUAGCAAGGAUUAAGUUAGCAGAAAAGGGCAUUAAAAACAAUGCUGUAAAGAUACAAAGGAAAAGAUCAACAUGAUGAAAGAAAUAAAAAAUAUUACCUGCAAGAGGCUGGGCAUGGUGGCUCACGCCUGUAAUCCCAGUACUUUGGGAGGCCAAGGCAGGCGGAUCACAAGGUCAGGAGUUCGAGACCAGCCUGACCAACAUGGCGAAACCCCGUCUCUACUAAAAAUGCAAAACUUAGCUGGGCAUGGUGGCAUGCGCCUGUAAUCCCAGCUACUCAGGAGGCUGAGGCAGGAGAAUUGCUUGAAUCUGGGAGGCAGAGGUUGCAGUGAGCCAAGAUCGUGCCAUUGCACUCCAGCCUGGGCGGCAGAGCAAGACUCUGUCUAAAAAAAAAAAAAAAGUUACCUGCAAGAGUGGUAACAGACCUCUCCUAAGAAAUUUAUGCAAACUAGCAAAUAAGGGAGCAAUAUUUUUAGGUACAUAAGGAAAAAAACCUAUCAACCUAGAAUUUUAUACCUAGCCAAAGUAUCUUUCAAAAACAAAGGCAAAAUAGUUAUUUUCAAGCAAGCAAAAGUUAGAGGAUUCAUUGUCACAGGAUCUAUACUACAAGAAAUAUUAGAGAAACUUCUUUAGGCAGAAGGAUACCAGAGAUAGAUUUAGAGCUACACAAAGGAAUAAAGAGUGCUAAAAAUAGUAAAUAUGUGGCUGGGCAUGGUGGCUCAUGCCUGUGAUCCCAGCACUUUGGGAGGCCCAGCUGGGUGGAUCACCUGAGGUCAGGAGUUUGAGAUCAGCCUGGCCAACAUGGUGAAAACUCAUCUCUACUAAAAGUACAAAAAGUAGCUGGGCAUGGUGGUGGGUGCCUGUAAUCUCAGCUACUCGGGAGGCUGAGGCAGGAGAAUCACUUGAACCAGAGAGGCGGAGGUUGUAGUGAGCCAAGAUCAUGCCACUGCACUCCAGCCUGGGUGACAGAGUGAGACUCCGUCUCAAAAAAAAA